RNAcentral lists this ribosomal RNA (446 nucleotides) under uncultured bacterium. Its description in RNAcentral is "partial 16S ribosomal RNA". It matches the Rfam family "Bacterial small subunit ribosomal RNA", at positions 338 to 795 of the family's 1533-position model. The record is from RNAcentral.
CCUACGGGUGGCAGCAGUCGAGAAUCAUUCACAAUGGGGGAAACCCUGAUGGUGCGACGCCGCGUGGGGGAAUGAAGGUCUUCGGAUUGUAAACCCCUGUUAUGUGGGAGCAAAUUAAAAAGAUAGUACCACAAGAGGAAGAGACGGUUAACUCUGUGCCAGCAGCCGCGGUAAUACAGAGGUCUUAAGCGUUGUUCGGAAUCACUGGUCGUAAAGGGUGCGUAGGCUGGUUGGUAAGUCGUGUGUGAAAGGGGCGGGCUCAACCCGCGGACGGCACAUGAUACUGCGAGACUAGAGUAAUGUAGGGGGAACCGGAAUUCUCGGUGUAGCAGUGAAAUGCGUAGAUAUCGAGAGGAACCCGCGUGGCGAAGGCGGGUUCCUGGACAUUAACUGACGCUGAGGCACGAAGGCCAGGGGAGCGAAAGGGAUUAGAUACCCUUGUAGUC